RNAcentral lists this ribosomal RNA (1336 nucleotides) under metagenome. RNAcentral's name for it is "bacterial LSU rRNA". It matches the Rfam family "Bacterial large subunit ribosomal RNA", at positions 1599 to 2925 of the family's 2925-position model. The record is from RNAcentral.
ACCCUGCUUCCAAGAAAAGCCACUAAGCUUCAGCUACACACGACCGUACCGCAAACCGACACUGGUGCGCGAGAUGAGUAUUCUAAGGCGCUUGAGAGAACUCUGGAGAAGGAACUCGGCAAAUUGACACCGUAACUUCGGAAGAAGGUGUGCCCCUGGUAGGUGAAGUCGUACAGACGGAGCCCAAUGGGGUCGCAGAGAAUAGGUGGCUGCGACUGUUUAUUAAAAACACAGCACUCUGCAAAGACGAAAGUCGACGUAUAGGGUGUGACGCCUGCCCGGUGCUGGAAGAUUAAAUGAUGGGGUGCAAGCUCUUGAUUGAAGUCCCAGUAAACGGCGGCCGUAACUAUAACGGUCCUAAGGUAGCGAAAUUCCUUGUCGGGUAAGUUCCGACCUGCACGAAUGGCGUAACGAUGGCCACGCUGUCUCCUCCAGAGACUCAGCGAAGUUGAAAUGUUUGUGAUGAUGCAAUCUCCCCGCGGAAAGACGGAAAGACCCCAUGAACCUUUACUGUAGCUUUACAUUGGACUUUGAACAGAUCUGUGUAGGAUAGGUGGGAGGCUUUGAAGCCUGGUCGCUAGAUCAGGUGGAGCCAACGUUGAAAUACCACCCUGGUGUGUUUGAGGUUCUAACCUUGGCCCGUGAUCCGGGUUGGGGACAGUGUAUGGUGGGCAGUUUGACUGGGGCGGUCUCCUCCCAAAGCGUAACGGAGGAGUUCGAAGGUACGCUAGGCACGGUCGGAAAUCGUGCUGAUAGUGCAUUGGCAUAAGCGUGCUUGACUGCGAGACUGACAAGUCGAGCAGGUACGAAAGUAGGACAAAGUGAUCCGGUGGUUCUGUAUGGAAGGGCCAUCGCUCAACGGAUAAAAGGUACUCUGGGGAUAACAGGCUGAUACCGCCCAAGAGUUCAUAUCGACGGCGGUGUUUGGCACCUCGAUGUCGGCUCAUCUCAUCCUGGGGCUGUAGCCGGUCCCAAGGGUAUGGCUGUUCGCCAUUUAAAGAGGUACGUGAGCUGGGUUUAAAACGUCGUGAGACAGUUUGGUCCCUAUCUUCCGUGGGCGCUGCAAGAUUGAGAGAGCCUGCUCCUAGUACGAGAGGACCGGAGUGGACGCACCUCUGGUGUAUCGGUUGUCACGCCAGUGGCAUCGCCGAGUAGCUAAGUGCGGAAGAGAUAACCGCUGAAAGCAUCUAAGCGGGAAACUCGUCUCAAGAUGAGUCUUGCCGGGGCCUCGAGCCCCCUGAAGAGUCGUUCGAGACCAGGACGUUGAUAGGUCGGGUGUGGAAGCGCAGUAAUGCGUUAAGCUAACCGAUACUAAUUGCUCGUGAGGCUUGACCCU